AAACAAAAGUUGAAAUAUUUAGCGAUUUUCGACUUUUUUUCUUUUUUUGAGAGAGACACGUAGCACGCUACCCGCUUCGUUUUAUUUCAUUUAGAAAUAAACUUAGCUGGAAAUGUGAAUCUAACUAGGAUUCGAACUUGAGACCUCGGGUACCAACUAUCAAGUCCUUUACCACUUACUCCAGAGACAGUCGAUGUGAUUUUUGGAUCUUAAAUAUUUUACAAGAUGAAAUUGUACAUCUUCAAAUCGCCUAAAAUAUUUAGAAAAAUGAUUUGAAAUCUCCAUUUUUAUUAGAUACGGUUAUCAAUGUUUAUGUAAAAAGUAUAUAAUAUUUUUUGAUGUACCCGCUUCGUUUUAUUUCAUUUAGAAAUAAACUUAACUGGAAAUGUAAAUCAACUAGAAUUCGAACUUGAGACAUCGGGUAUCAACUAUUAAGCUCUUUGUCACUUGCUCUAGAGACAGUCGGUGCGAUUUUCAGAUCUUAAAUAUUUUACAAGAUGAAAUUGUACAUCUUCAA
This 517-nucleotide long non-coding RNA is filed under the name Ananas comosus (pineapple). RNAcentral's name for it is "long non-coding RNA (ACOM_LNC012533)". Lineage: Eukaryota; Viridiplantae; Streptophyta; Magnoliopsida; Poales; Bromeliaceae. The record is from RNAcentral.